Molecule: transfer RNA, 88 nt
Filed under: Christensenellaceae bacterium
Lineage: Bacteria; Bacillati; Bacillota; Clostridia; Christensenellales; Christensenellaceae
Description: tRNA-Ser
Rfam family: tRNA
About the family: Transfer RNA (tRNA) molecules are approximately 80 nucleotides in length.
Source: RNAcentral
AGAGAGAUGUCAGAGUGGUCGAAUGUGCCUGUCUCGAAAACAGGUGUGGGGCAACUCACCGGCGGUUCGAAUCCGCCUCUCUCUGCCA